Molecule: ribosomal RNA, 1024 nt
Filed under: Absidia glauca
Lineage: Eukaryota; Fungi; Mucoromycota; Mucoromycetes; Mucorales; Cunninghamellaceae
Description: LSU rRNA
Rfam family: Eukaryotic large subunit ribosomal RNA
Source: RNAcentral
GCAUAUCAUAAGCGGAGGAAAAGAAAAUAACAAUGAUUCCCCCAGUAACGGCGAGUGAACAGGGAAAAGCUCAAAGUUGGAAGCUCCUGGCCCUAGGCUAGGCGCAUUGUAAACUAAAGCUGUAAAGUAGUUCGGUUGGCCUGGUAAAAAAGUUCCCUGGAAUGGGGCGACAUGGAGGGUGAAAUCCCCGUCUUUGGCCAGAGUUCAGCCGUGCGUUUGCUUUGCUGCGAAGAGUCAGGUUGUUUGGGAAUGCAGCCUAAAAUGGGAGGUAGACUUCUCCUAAAGCUAAAUAUUGACGAAAGACCGAUAGCGAACAAGUACCGUGAGGGAAAGAUGAAAAGCACUUUGAAAAGAGGGUCAAAAAGUACGUGAAAUUGCUGAAAGGGAACCGUAUGAAAUCAGCCUGAUGUGUGGGUAAUCAGCCUGGGCUUUGGCCUGGGUGCACUUGCCCAUGUAUUAGCCUGCGACAGUUUGACCUGGGGGAAAAAAGAUGGGGGAAUGUGGCCUCGGCUUCGGUCGAGGUGUUAUAGCCCCUGUCAAAAUACCUUGGGUUGGACUGAGGACUGCAGCGAGCCGUAAGGCAUGGGUCUCGGGCGCUCUGUCUCGGCGAAAAGUGAAUCUCUGCUUCGGGUGGUGCGCUUUUCUUCAGGGCAGACUCGCCUGUUUCUUCUUUCUCUCGCUUAGGUCGUAGGCAUAAUGAUUUUAUAUGACCCGUCUUGAAACACGGACCAAGGAGUCCACCAUAGUUGCGAGUCUUUGAGUGUAAAAACCCAUGGGCGUAAGGAAACUGACCAAGAUAUGAAGGCCUCUGGCUGGCAAUAUCCUCCGGCGAGGACGUUUUAUACUGAAUUGACCGAGAGAAAGCACCUAUGAUGGGACCCGAAAGAUGGUGAACUAUACUUGAAUAGGGUGAAGCCAGAGGAAACUCUGGUGGAAGCUCGUAGCGAUUCUGACGUGCAAAUCGAUCGUCAAAUUUGAGUAUAGGGGCGAAAGACUAAUCGAACCAUCUAGUAGCUGGUUCUGC